GCUCCGAUGGUGUAGUCCGGCCAAGCAUUCCGGCCUUUCGAGCCGAUGACUCGGGUUCAAAUCCCGAUCGGAGCA
Transfer RNA from Acidiplasma cupricumulans, 75 nucleotides. It matches the Rfam family "tRNA". From Rfam's summary of the family: Transfer RNA (tRNA) molecules are approximately 80 nucleotides in length. Their secondary structure includes four short double-helical elements and three loops (D, anti-codon, and T loops). The record is from Rfam. NCBI's taxonomy places the organism in Archaea, Methanobacteriati, Thermoplasmatota, Thermoplasmata, Thermoplasmatales, Ferroplasmaceae.